This 480-nucleotide ribosomal RNA is filed under the name uncultured bacterium. Its description in RNAcentral is "partial 16S ribosomal RNA". It matches the Rfam family "Bacterial small subunit ribosomal RNA", at positions 28 to 507 of the family's 1533-position model. The record is from RNAcentral.
GACGAACGCUGGCGGCGUGCUUAACACAUGCAAGUCGAACGACGAAGAAAAGACUUGAAGCUUCGGCAGAAAUUCAUUUCGGAUUAGUGGCAGACGGGUGAGUAACGCGUGAGCAACCUACCUCUUACAAAGGGAUAGCCUCGGGAAACCGGGAUUAAUACCAUAUAACAUUGCGACGAAGCAUUUCGAUGCAAUCAAAGCUACGGCGGUAAGAGAUGGGCUCGCGUCCCAUUAACCAGAUGGUGAGGUAACGGCUCACCAUAGUAACGAUGGGUAACCGGCCUGAGAGGGUGAACGGUCACACUGGAACUGAGACACGGUCCAGACUCCUACGGGAGGCAGCAGUGGGGAAUAUUGCACAAUGGAGGGAACUCUGAUGCAGCGACGCCGCGUGAGUGAUGAAGGAAUUCGUUUCGUAAAACUCUGUUCUAUGGGAAGAAAAGGACUGUACCAUAGGAGAAAGCUCCGGCUAAAUACGUG